This 459-nucleotide ribosomal RNA is filed under the name uncultured bacterium. Its description in RNAcentral is "partial 16S ribosomal RNA". It matches the Rfam family "Bacterial small subunit ribosomal RNA", at positions 338 to 795 of the family's 1533-position model. The record is from RNAcentral.
CCUACGGGAGGCAGCAGUGAGGAAUAUUGGUCAAUGGCCGCAGGGCUGAACCAGCCAAGUCGCGUGAGGGAUGACGGUCCUAUGGAUUGUAAACCUCUUUUGUCAGGGAGCAAAGGGCGCCACGUGUGGCGCUUUGCGAGUACCUGAAGAAAAAGCAUCGGCUACCUCCGUGCCAGCAGCCGCGGUAAUACGGAGGAUGCGAGCGUUAUCCGGAUUUAUUGGGUUUAACGGGUGCGCAGGCGGAAUGUCAAGUCAGCGGUAAAAUUUCGGGGCUCAACCCCGUCGUGCCGUUGAAACUGGCGUUCUUGAGUGAGCGAGAAGUAUGCGGAAUGCGUGGUGUAGCGGUGAAAUGCAUAGAUAUCACGCAGAACUCCGAUUGCGAAGGCAGCAUACCGGCGCUCAACUGACGCUCAUGCACGAAAGCGUGGGUAUCGAACAGGAUUAGAUACCCCUGUAGUC